Molecule: ribosomal RNA, 440 nt
Filed under: uncultured bacterium
Lineage: Bacteria
Description: partial 16S ribosomal RNA
Rfam family: Bacterial small subunit ribosomal RNA
Source: RNAcentral
CCUACGGGAGGCAGCAGUGGGGGAUAUUGCACAAUGGGGGGAACCCUGAUGCAGCGACGCCGCGUGGGUGAAGAAGGGCCUCGGAGCGUAAAGCCCUGUUAGCAGGGAAGAAAAUGAGGGUACGUGAAGAAGAAGCCCCGGCUAACUACGUGCCAGCAGCCGCGGUAAUACGUAGGGGGCAAGCGUUAUCCGGAUUUACUGGGUGUGAAGGGGGCGCAGACGGCGAUGCAAGCCAGGAGUGAAAGCCCGGGGUCCAACCCCGGGACUGCUCGUGAAACUGCCUGGCUGGAGUGCAGGAGGGGCAGGCGGAAUUCCUGGUGUAGCGGUGAAAUGCGUAGAUAUCAGGAGGAACACCGGUGGCGAAGGCGGCCUGCUGGACUGCAACUGACGUUGAGGCCCGAAAGCGUGGGGAGCAAACAGGAUUAGAUACCCUAGUAGUC